Strigops habroptila (Kakapo) is the source of this 3595-nucleotide long non-coding RNA. RefSeq lists it as uncharacterized. Lineage: Eukaryota; Metazoa; Chordata; Aves; Psittaciformes; Psittacidae. The transcript has 6 exons. The record is from RefSeq and is a predicted model, not a curated record.
UGCUGUGCUCAGCUCCUGCUCAUUGGGUUUAUGUUGAACUCAUGAGGACCUGAUGCAGAAUUCUUUUUUUAAUUAUUUUUUUAAGUAUACAGAUCCUGCAGUAUAGUUGAAGCCGUGGUUCUAAAUUCUCAGUAAAAAGCUGGACUUAUUUAUCUCUUUUUUGUUGUGCAAAGAUUGUUUACUGACAAUUGUCAUGGUUAGGUUUUUAAUGAAUGCUUAGUCCUUGCUUGUCAAGAACAAAAGGACUGAAAUAUGUUUACAGAUCAGGCUGCUGGUGACCUCCACUUUCCAUUUUGUAAUGUUUAACAUGCGGUUUCAAUGUUUUGAAUUUUUGCUUAGCAGGCUGAGAGCUGCACCAGAACUCUUUUAAAAAUAGUCUUCAUAGCUUAAAUGUUAAUUGGAGUUUCUGUUGGGGAGGUUGAGAAUUAAAUGCUGCCGAUGUAGCUUUACAUGGAGCAAAGUAAGAAUUAGGCCAAUGUGAAAUACGUCCUGGUGUUGCCUCAAAAUGAAAAUACGGAGUGCUACCAAACCUAGACUUGUGUGGGGCACCACAGAAGUAUGUUGUGUAGUAUCCUUGGAGUAAGAUUGUUACCUUGCAAGGCAGAAGGCAAUUGAAUAAAACCCACAUCAACGCACAUUAGCUAUUUCCUGUUAGGAAACACUGGGUAUCGUUUUUCAUAGCCAUACUUUAUGAAGUACAUGUUAUGAUAAUUGUCAAACGCUGUGAUUCUUCUUCUUAUUUGGUAAAUCUUGUACAUGUGGAUGAGAUAUUAUUUUUCCAGGGGUAUGUUUAUAUGAAUUGCAGCCAGUUCCUUUACCUAGAAAACUAUGUCAAUGUAAUGCAAUGUUAUGUAAUUCGGUUCUUAUAUGCUGCAUAUCACAGAGUUGAAUUUCUUCCAGAAGUGCGUUAAGUAAUGGGAUUGUUAUCUGCUACAUGUGGUUUUCUCUCUCCCGUUCUUUCCAAAGGUGACUUUUGUGCUUUUUUUAUUUCUGGUGUCUUUUAAAAUUGUUAUUACAUUAUCUGUACACAGUUCUGUAUGCAUUCAUGUGACUCGCAUUCAGAGUAGAAGACAGUGAGCUUUGUGCUGAGGAUAAUUCCAGUGGGAACUCAUCCAGAAGUCUCGUGCUGGCCCGAGAAAGCUGUAUUCUGCAGAGCUUUUCUUUGGAGAUGGAUAAUCCCACUGCACCUGUGCAACGAAGCUGCUGUCUAUUUUUCCUCAUCCUGUCUCCCUCUGUAGGUAACCAUUCUUAUAAGCAUCUGGGGUCCCAAACUUCUGAAUCCCUUAUGAACAAUGAUGCAACACUGAAAGUAACACCACAGAUUAAAUACAAGUCUUGGACCUGCACCAGUCCGGAAUGGUGCUCACAGCACACUUGUAGUGUCCUUGCACAUUUGUAGUGCCGAUUCUCUGUAACAGUGGUGAGGGUGACAGCAGGACCCAGGUUAGAGUGCUCUUGGGAGAACCCAACUUUGGAAGCAGUGUUGCUGUGGGACAUUCCUCUCCUCCUUUCUUUCGUUCUUUCCAGCUUUUAUGGCCUGAAGUCUAACACUGGGACUUCAAAUUCAGGUGUUAAAGCUGAAGCAGUGGCUGAUACAUAUCACACAAGUGAUUAUUAAGGUGGCGCAAGCCCUUUUGACCAAGUAUUACUGCUGUGUAGUUUCUUGUCUUUGUGAUUUUUCCCCAGCUGGAUAUUUCUUUUGAACUGAAAUGAUCUGCAUGUCUCGUAGGAACUGACCUGUCUAGAAAACAUUUUGAUCAAAUUCCAACACAGUUUUAAUGCGUGUGUUUCUUUUGCCUUUUCCUGGCUACUUCCUGAUGCUGUUUAUCCAAAACAUCACUUGCUGUCAAGGGCAAUGCUGGCCAUUUGAAACAUCUCCAUGUCCAUGAAGCAGCUGUACCUACUAGGCUUAAUUUCUGUAACGAUUUACCAAGUGUAUGUAAUUUAAAACCCACUGUUCUUCUCUGCCCUCCUACCAUCACCAGUCAGCUCAUUUCAUCUGCAAGAAGUGAUGGAAUUAGGUUGCCAAGAUUCUGGAAGGUUUGCUUUUCUAUACCAAAUUUAACAUAAUACAUGCAUGGCUUAUGCAAGAAGAAGGACAGUUUUUCUGUUUUCCUGCCAUAUCAAGCAAUCCUGGAAUCCGUUCUCUUCAUGAAUAACAGCAUUAACCAUUAAUUUUAGUUUAUUUGGUGGAGAAGAAGAAAUAUGAAAAAUGGAAAUUAAGACUAAGCUUGGGAGGUGUGCAAUAGGAAGAUAAAAUUCUCUAAUAAAUAUGUUAAAAUUUCAGGGGAGUUUGACCUUGUGACUGAUACACAAGAAAACACACAAGAUUUACGCAUGAUGUGGAUGUCCAAGCAGUCUGAUUCCAAGUGAAACUGAGAAUAUAGUUUUACAUUAUACUGCUCCGUGCUAUAUUUGGAUCAAGUGAAGAGGGAAGGAAAGAGAUACUGAAUUAUUUGAAAGUACAAGAAAGUGCAAGUGGAUUCAACAUAAUAAUAAUAAUUCCUGAAAUAAUUAUUUUUCUUUCUUUUUUUCUUCAGGAGAUCCACAAGUACAAUGGAACAAUGGAAGAGUGUCAAUAGUAGAUUUGAACAUGAGCUGCCAGCAAGGUGGAUGAAUGGUGUGACAGUCACAUCUGCUGAAUGUUCUGGAGUUUUCCUGAUAAGGAGAAGCUGCAGAGACAAUUCAGUGUGUUUCCUGGUGCUACACAGAUGAGCUGCAGCAUGGCAAGGAACUGGAGUCAGUGUCACAACCCAGAGGUGUCCGAACCACUGUCCGUUCCUCCUUACCAGAAGCUGGUCCUCAGAGAAGAUCCUGCGUAAUGACCAGCCCAUGUCCUUUGAGUGUGGUGAGCCAGGCUGUAGUCACAGCACCUUUACUUGUUGUCAGUGACCUCACUGGUGAGACAAAUCAAUCCUGAAGAAGGACUUGCUCUUUUGAAGGAAGUCAGCGAACCUUUGCACAUAACAGGGUCGUCACUUAAGGUGGAAACUUCCCGUCACUCAGGAAAAGAAGGCGAACUGCUCCCUCUAUAGGCUUUCCCGGUUGUUGCUUUCCUGAACUGGCCAUUGCAUGCAAGCUUUGAAGGCUGGCAAGAACUCUGAAGGCCCUGCCUCCACAAUUGCACCAACACUGCAGUUUAUGGCAUCAUUCUGCACAGCACCAACAACAGCUGCAGAGCAGCAGGAGUGUGAAGAAGCAGCCGGAGGCAAGGCAGGGAUGGGAGACAGAUGUUCCCAAGCUGGCCUUGCAGCUGAAGUCCCCCUUUUGAAAGUGCAGCUGCCAGCAUACCCUUGCUCUGGCAUAGAUCAGAGGGAAUUCUCCUGCAGUGCCUGAAGUAACACUUUAGGGAAGAACUGUCACAUGGGUGAGUUAUAUAUUAACCACUAUAGAUGACCUUUCAGAGAGUGGCAGAGUAACAAUCUCACUGAAUUACUGAUAAAGAAAAAUGGCAAUUUUUCCAUUAUGCAGAGCACGGGUAUUAACUCCUAGGAAAAGACUGCCCAGCUCUUCCCACUAAAUGAUACCAUUUUCAGUUCUUCCAUACUUUCUUAAAUGUGAAUAAAUAGUUCAGAUGAUUUCAAUGCUAAAUAAA